GUUGGGGAGGGGGAGGAGUCCCUCAGCCCGGAUUGUGAGAGGGUGCAGUCCAGGCUGAGGGACCCCGCCGGUGCAUG
Molecule: microRNA precursor, 77 nt
Filed under: Myotis davidii
Lineage: Eukaryota; Metazoa; Chordata; Mammalia; Chiroptera; Vespertilionidae
Description: mir-9193 microRNA precursor family
Rfam family: mir-9193 microRNA precursor family
Source: Rfam by way of RNAcentral